AAUAAAAAAAGACCGAACACGAUUCCUGUAUUCGGUCCAGGGAAAUGGCUCUUUGAGAGCCGUGCGCUAAAAGUUGGCAUUAAUGCAGGCGAUGACGCCUUGCAACUUAAGGUUAGUCCACGUCUG
This 126-nucleotide small RNA is filed under the name Candidatus Pantoea alvi. Lineage: Bacteria; Pseudomonadati; Pseudomonadota; Gammaproteobacteria; Enterobacterales; Erwiniaceae. RNAcentral also lists the same sequence under 1 other name. The record is from RNAcentral.